AACGAACGCUGGCGGCAGGCCUAACACAUGCAAGUCGAGCGAGACCUUCGGGUCUAGCGGCGGACGGGUUAGUAACGCGUGGGAAUAUGCCCAAAGGUACGGGAAUAGCCUCUGGAAACGGAGAGUAAUACCGUAUGUGCCCUUCGGGGAAAGGAUUUAUCGCCUUUGGAUUAGCCCGCGUUGGAUUAGAUAGUUGGUGGGGGUAAUGGCCUACCAAGUCUACGAUCCAUAGCUGGUUUGAGAGGAUGAUCAGCAACACUGGGACUGAGACACGGCCCAGACUCCUACGGGAGGCAGCAGUGGGGAAUCUUCGGCAAUGGGCGCAAGCCUGACCGAGCCAUGCCGCGUGAGCGAUGAAGGCCUUAGGGUUGUAAAGCUCUUUCGCCAGGGAUGAUAAUGACAGUACCUGGUAAAGAAACCCCGGCUAACUCCGUGCCAGCAGCCGCGGUAAAGGUCAGUGACU
Molecule: ribosomal RNA, 463 nt
Filed under: uncultured bacterium
Lineage: Bacteria
Description: bacterial SSU rRNA
Rfam family: Bacterial small subunit ribosomal RNA
Source: RNAcentral